Molecule: ribosomal RNA, 176 nt
Filed under: uncultured Geobacillus sp.
Lineage: Bacteria; Bacillati; Bacillota; Bacilli; Caryophanales; Anoxybacillaceae
Description: partial 16S ribosomal RNA
Rfam family: Bacterial small subunit ribosomal RNA
Source: RNAcentral
GACCAGGGCUACACACGUGCUACAAUGGGCGGUACAAAGGGCUGCGAACCCGCAGGGGGAGCGAAUCCCAAAAAGCCGCUCUCAGUUCGGAUUGCAGGCUGCAACUCGCCUGCAUGAAGCCGGAAUCGCUAGUAAUCGCGGAUCAGCAUGCCGCGGUGAAUACGUUCCCGGGCCUU